RNAcentral lists this ribosomal RNA (421 nucleotides) under Fusobacteriota bacterium. RNAcentral's name for it is "Fusobacteria bacterium partial 16S ribosomal RNA". It matches the Rfam family "Bacterial small subunit ribosomal RNA", at positions 355 to 776 of the family's 1533-position model. Lineage: Bacteria; Fusobacteriati; Fusobacteriota. The record is from RNAcentral.
UGGGGAAUAUUGCACAAUGGACGGAAGUUUGAUGCAGCGACGCCGCGUGGAGGGUGUAGGCCUUCGGGUUGUGAACUCCUUUUUCUCGCGAAAAAGGCACAGUUUUGGCUGUGUUGAUGGUAGUGGGGGAAGAAGCGCCGGCUAACUACGUGCCAGCAGCCGCGGGAAUACGUAGGGCGCGAGCGUUGUCCGGAUUUAUUGGGCUUAAAGAGCUCGUAGGUGGUUCGUCGCGUCUGUCGUGAAAGCCAUCAGCUUAACUGUUGGUCUGCGGUGGGUACGGGCGGGCUUGAGUGCGGUAGGGGUGACUGGAAUUCCUGGUGUAGCGGUGGAAUGCGCAGAUAUCAGGAGGACCACCGAUGGCGAAGGCAGGUCACUGGGCCGUUACUGACACUGGGGAGCGAAAGCGUGGGGAGCGAACAGG